Molecule: ribosomal RNA, 762 nt
Filed under: Elphidium sp. S3
Lineage: Eukaryota; Foraminifera; Rotaliida; Elphidiidae
Description: SSU rRNA
Rfam family: Eukaryotic small subunit ribosomal RNA (bases 1-453)
Source: RNAcentral
UUGACUCACGCGGGAAUCUUACCGGGUCCGGACACACUGAGGAUUGACAGGUUCCGAGAGUUUUUGCUUCGGCAAUGCUCUCUUAAAUAUGAUAGUCCUUUCAUGAUUAUGUGAUAGGUGGUGCAUGGCCGUUCUUAGUUCGUGGAGUGAUCUGUCUGCUUAAUUGCGUUUCACUAAAGGCGUCAUAUCUGUUUUGUUGCGUGUUUGACCCCUCUUCGGAGCGCGUGUCUUCACGCACAAUUACUUUGGCGUCUGAAAGCAACGAACGUGACCGUAACCUCUUGUUGCCUUCUCUUCUCCUCGGAGAAUGCUGUUUGUUUUUGCAGGCAGUAUAUGGAGGCUUUUUUACUCAACAACUAGAGGGACCGCUGUUUCUUUCUUUAAACCAGAGGAAGGAUACGGCAAUAACAGGUCUGUGAUGCCCUUAGAUGUUCCGGGCUGCACACGUGAUACAUUGAUUACUUCAGUGAGUAUCUACGUUUUACUGCGUGGCAUUGCAAUCCAUAUUUCUUCGGAAGUGUGUUUUUGUUUUCCGCCUCAACCUGCUUCGAAAGCAUGCGGGUAACCAAUUAGAAGUAGUGAUUUCCUUUUUUAUAAGCACACUAAUAUGGGGCAUCAUCACCCGGCAUGCCUUGUUGUAUGUUUUGUGUGUGGUGUUUGCUUUUCCAUGUGCUUUUGUCAAUUCAUAGUGGGGAUAGACCAUUGUUAAUUGUUGGUCUCGGUCUUAACUAGGAAUGCCUUGUACGAGUUUUUGGUUCAACA